Molecule: transfer RNA, 71 nt
Filed under: Marmota monax (woodchuck)
Lineage: Eukaryota; Metazoa; Chordata; Mammalia; Rodentia; Sciuridae
Description: tRNA.Ala
Rfam family: tRNA
About the family: Transfer RNA (tRNA) molecules are approximately 80 nucleotides in length.
Source: RNAcentral
GGGGUUGUUGCUCAGUGGUAGAGUGUGCACCUUGCACGUGUGAGGUACUCGGUUCGAUCCUCAGCACCACA